GGGCCAGUGGGGCAAGGAUAACGCGCCUGACUACGGAUCGGGAGAUUCCAGGUUCGAACCCUGGUUUGGCUCG
Molecule: non-coding RNA, 73 nt
Organism: Trichonephila inaurata madagascariensis
Lineage: Eukaryota; Metazoa; Arthropoda; Arachnida; Araneae; Nephilidae
Source: the annotation of a GenBank genome assembly